RNAcentral lists this transfer RNA (74 nucleotides) under Puniceicoccales bacterium. RNAcentral's name for it is "tRNA-Gln". It matches the Rfam family "tRNA". From Rfam's summary of the family: Transfer RNA (tRNA) molecules are approximately 80 nucleotides in length. Their secondary structure includes four short double-helical elements and three loops (D, anti-codon, and T loops). Further hydrogen bonds mediate the characteristic L-shaped molecular structure. tRNAs have two regions of fundamental functional importance: the anti-codon, which is responsible for specific mRNA codon recognition, and the 3' end, to which the tRNAs corresponding amino acid is attached (by aminoacyl-tRNA synthetases). tRNAs cope with the degeneracy of the genetic code in two manners: having more than one tRNA (with a specific anti-codon) for a particular amino acid; and 'wobble' base-pairing, i.e. permitting non-standard base-pairing at the 3rd anti-codon position. The record is from RNAcentral. Lineage: Bacteria; Pseudomonadati; Verrucomicrobiota; Opitutia; Puniceicoccales.
UGCCCGAUGGUGUAACGGUAGCACGGUGGAUUUUGGUUCCAUCGGUCCAGGUUCGAACCCUGGUCGGGCAGCCA